AACCUAGCACACCUGCGGUGUGUACCUGCGGAGGGAUCAUUACCUAGAGUUGUAGGCUUUGCCUGCUAUCUCUUACCCAUGUCUUUUGAGUACCUUACGUUUCCUCGGUGGGUUCGCCCGCCGGUUGGACAAAACUUAAACCCUUUGUAGUUGCAAUCAGCGUCUGAAAAAACUUAACAGUUACAACUUUCAGCAACGGAUCU
RNAcentral lists this unclassified non-coding RNA (203 nucleotides) under soil metagenome. Its description in RNAcentral is "partial contains 5.8S ribosomal RNA, internal transcribed spacer 2, and large subunit ribosomal RNA". The record is from RNAcentral.